UCAUCUCAAUCCCCUUAGUUUUGAUUAACUAUUGGGAUUGGAUUUGGGGGCUGCUGGCUUCGUUCAGAGGUCGGCUCUCCUUGAAUGCAUUAGUGGGCAUCUGGCUCGCGUUGCUGGUGUGAUAGUUUCAUUCAUCAUCGGCGGCGCUUGUCUAAUGGGUCUGCUUUCGAACCGUCUUCUCAACGGAGACAAAUACUUGACAU
RNAcentral lists this unclassified non-coding RNA (203 nucleotides) under uncultured Basidiomycota. RNAcentral describes it as "sequence contains ITS2". RNAcentral also lists the same sequence under 1 other name. The record is from RNAcentral. Lineage: Eukaryota; Fungi; Basidiomycota.